This is a long non-coding RNA of Diprion similis, 631 nucleotides long. RefSeq lists it as uncharacterized. The transcript is spliced from 3 exons. Lineage: Eukaryota; Metazoa; Arthropoda; Insecta; Hymenoptera; Diprionidae. The record is from RefSeq and is a predicted model, not a curated record.
CUAAUAUUUCAAAAUCAUAUCUGUAGAUCAUCCACGUAUUCUCUCGAUUGUGUCAAACCUCAGUUGUCGUUCCGCUCUCUUGCGAUACGAAUCGUAUCGUUUUGUAUCUUUCUUGAAUAAAGUAUCCUUUAGUGUUAUUUAAACAUAUAUCCUGCCUGAAAAAAUUUCGCACAUAGUGAAGUUUUUCAAGGAAGUUGGCUCAGCACCUCAACUUUUAUGACUAUCGCUUACUGUAGACGGCGUAAGCUUAAAUUUGGUCGGUGCCAAUUAUUCACUUUUGCUUGAUAUUCAUUGGAAUCCGCCAAAAGGAAGCAUGAAUCCAGGAUGCAAUUCACAGAGUCGAGCAAAGGAAACGAGUCUACAUUAACAAAUUUAUGUAUCUAGACACAGUGGAGUAACGAAUCAAUGCAUUGCAAGACCAAAAAAUCGAAACAGCAACCGAAGUUGAGACAAGUGCCUCCAAGUUAUCGAUGGAUGAUGUCAAAUUUUUAUUCAACUUGUAAAACUUUUAUUUUGUUGAAUCUCCGUAUCGUCUGGCCUUAGUCAUAUAAUUCUGGAAAUAGUGAAUUGACCUGCUAUUUUGAUAUGCAUCUGAUCGCGUUAAGCCAAAGUUUCUUGGCAGAAGUAAGGA